Molecule: ribosomal RNA, 253 nt
Filed under: uncultured bacterium
Lineage: Bacteria
Description: partial 16S ribosomal RNA
Rfam family: Bacterial small subunit ribosomal RNA
Source: RNAcentral
UACGGGGGGGGCAAGCGUUGUUCGGAAUUACUGGGCGUAAAGGGUUCGUAGGUGGCCAACUAAGUCAGACGUGAAAUCCCUCAGCUUAACUGAGGAAGUGCGCCCGAAACUGCAGAGCUUGAGUACCGGAGAGGAUGGCGGAAUUCCCCAAGUAGAGGUGAAAUUCGUAGAUAUGGGGAGGAACACCGGUGGCGAAGGCGGCCAUCUGGACGGUCACUGACGCUGAGACGCGAAAGCGUGGGUAGCAAACAGG